GACGAACGCUGGCGGCGUGCUUAACACAUGCAAGUCGAACGGAAAGGCCCUGCUUUUGUGGGGUGCUCGAGUGGCGAACGGGUGAGUAACACGUGAGUAACCUGCCCUUGACUUUGGGAUAACUUCAGGAAACUGGGGCUAAUACCGGAUAGGAGCUCCUGCUGCAUGGUGGGGGUUGGAAAGUUUCGGCGGUUGGGGAUGGACUCGCGGCUUAUCAGCUUGUUGGUGGGGUAGUGGCUUACCAAGGCUUUGACGGGUAGCCGGCCUGAGAGGGUGACCGGCAGCAGUAGGACUGAGAUAGGCCCCAGGGGCCGACGGGGGGCACAGGUGCGGACCAUUGCACAAUGGGCGGAAGGCUGAGUCAGCAUCGCCGGGUGGUGGCGGAGGGCCAUCGGGUUGAAAACAGAUUUAGCCGCUGACGAACCGCGAGUGACGGGACUGGGUAAAAAAGCACCAGCUAACUACAUG
This 468-nucleotide ribosomal RNA is filed under the name uncultured bacterium. RNAcentral describes it as "partial 16S ribosomal RNA". It matches the Rfam family "Bacterial small subunit ribosomal RNA", at positions 28 to 507 of the family's 1533-position model. The record is from RNAcentral.